This 431-nucleotide ribosomal RNA is filed under the name uncultured Elusimicrobium sp. RNAcentral describes it as "bacterial SSU rRNA". It matches the Rfam family "Bacterial small subunit ribosomal RNA", at positions 958 to 1385 of the family's 1533-position model. Lineage: Bacteria; Pseudomonadati; Elusimicrobiota; Elusimicrobia; Elusimicrobiales; Elusimicrobiaceae. The record is from RNAcentral.
AACGCGAAGAACCUUACCUGGGCUUGAAGUGCUGGUGGUAAGUCCUUGGAAACAGGGGCUGACCCGCAAGGGAGCCAGCAGAGGUGCUGCAUGGUUGUCGUCAGCUCGUGUCGUGAGAUGUUGGGUUAAGUCCCGCAACGAGCGCAACCCCUAUCUCAUGUUGCUACCUGCGCAAGCAGGGCACUCUUGAGAAACUGCCUUCGAUAAGAAGGAGGAAGGUGGGGACGACGUCAAAUCCUCAUGGCCCUUAUGUCCAGGGCUACACACGUGCUACAAUGGCCGGUACAACGGGAAGCAAUACCGUAAGGUGGAGCCAAACCCUGAAAGCCGGCCCCAGUUCAGAUUGUGGGCUGCAACUCGCCCACAUGAAGGCGGAAUCGCUAGUAAUCGCGAAUCAGCAGGUCGCGGUGAAUACGUUCCCGGGCCUUGUA